GAUGAACGCUGGCGGCGUGCCUAAUACAUGCAAGUCGAGCGAACGGACGAGAAGCUUGCUUCUCUGAUGUUAGCGGCGGACGGGUGAGUAACACGUGGAUAACCUACCUAUAAGACUGGGAUAACUUCGGGAAACCGGAGCUAAUACCGGAUGAUAUUUUGAACCGCAUGGUUCAAAAGUGAAAGACGGUCUUGCUGUCACUUAUAGAUGGAUCCGCGCUGCAUUAGCUAGUUGGUAAGGUAACGGCUUACCAAGGCAACGAUGCAUAGCCGACCUGAGAGGGGGAGCGCCACCAGUGGACCGGAGACCCGGCCCAGACCCCUGCGGGAGGCACCAGAAGGGACUUUUCCGAAGGGGGCGAAAGCGGGAAGACGCAGCGCGGCGGGAGGAAUAAAGGUGUUGGGACAUAAAAAUUUUUUUAGGGGGGAAAAACAGAUGUGAAAGUACUUGGGCAUUCCGGGGGGGACCCUAACAAAAAGACCAGGCCAACUCCCGCC
RNAcentral lists this ribosomal RNA (497 nucleotides) under uncultured bacterium. RNAcentral describes it as "partial 16S ribosomal RNA". It matches the Rfam family "Bacterial small subunit ribosomal RNA", at positions 28 to 509 of the family's 1533-position model. The record is from RNAcentral.